CAGCAGGAGGGCGGAGGAGCGGAGCGGGCGCGGCGGGCGGGGCUGGCGCGGGCCACGCCGAGGAGCUGCGGCGGGAGAUGGGGAGCGGCGGCGGCGGCGGGGGAGCAGGAGCGGGCGGCCGAGCUGGAGGAGGGCCGGCGGCAGGAGGGGGAGGCCCUGGCAGCGGCGCCAGAACAUCGCCCAGCUCGGGAGGGGUCAAACUGCAGGAGCUCAGGGCCACCGGGCUGCCCGAGAAGUACUGUGCCCAGGUGGAGAGGAGGGCGGGCAGCUGCGCCGGAGUGGAGUCCCCCGGAGCAGAGUAGGCCGGCCUGGGAAGAACCAGCUCCAGCCCCCCAUGGAUUCGCGCGUUCCGCUUCCUCGCUGACUUUUCCAAUAAGAGAUGUUUCUGGAG
This is a long non-coding RNA of Pseudopipra pipra, 391 nucleotides long. RefSeq lists it as uncharacterized. The transcript has 2 exons. Lineage: Eukaryota; Metazoa; Chordata; Aves; Passeriformes; Pipridae. The record is from RefSeq and is a predicted model, not a curated record.